Molecule: small nuclear RNA, 157 nt
Organism: Microtus ochrogaster (prairie vole)
Lineage: Eukaryota; Metazoa; Chordata; Mammalia; Rodentia; Cricetidae
Gene: U1
Rfam family: U1 spliceosomal RNA
About the family: U1 is a small nuclear RNA (snRNA) component of the spliceosome (involved in pre-mRNA splicing). Its 5' end forms complementary base pairs with the 5' splice junction, thus defining the 5' donor site of an intron.
Source: Ensembl
AUAUUCACCUGACAGGAAAGCUACCAUGAUCGUGUAGGUAGCUUCAGCAGGUAAGGCUUAUCCAUUACAGUCCCGAUGUGUUUUUCCUGGUGAUUUCCCAAUGAAAAAAAAUCAAUUGUAUUAUGGUAGCAGGGGACUGUGUUCACACUCUCCCCUA